UGGCUCUUGCAUCGAUGAAGAACGCAGCGAAAUGCGAUAAGUAAUGUGAAUUGCAGAAUUCAGUGAAUCAUCGAAUCUUUGAACGCACCUUGCACUCCUUGGUAUUCCGAGGAGUAUGCCUGUUUGAGUGUCAUGGUAUUCUCAAACCCUUCUUCACCUUUUGCAAAGAGAGGGGGAAGAAGUUGUGUUUGGAAUUGGAGGUUUAUUGCUAGACUUGCAUCUAGCUCCUCUGAAUUGUAUUAGCUUGAAUUGCUUUCUCAUCAAGCAUGAUCCAGUGUGAUAGUUUGUUUACGUUGCUUCAUGUUGAUGUGUUUUUGUUGAUUUCAAGCUUCAAAGUGUCUCUAAUUUUGGGACUUGACAACUUUGAACAUCUGACCUCAGAUCAGGUAGGACUACCCGCUGA
This 403-nucleotide unclassified non-coding RNA is filed under the name uncultured fungus. RNAcentral's name for it is "partial contains 5.8S ribosomal RNA and internal transcribed spacer 2". The stretch from base 1 to 133 matches the Rfam family "5.8S ribosomal RNA", at positions 22 to 154 of the family's 154-position model. Lineage: Eukaryota; Fungi. The record is from RNAcentral.